Molecule: long non-coding RNA, 544 nt
Filed under: Homo sapiens (human)
Lineage: Eukaryota; Metazoa; Chordata; Mammalia; Primates; Hominidae
Description: non-protein coding lnc-HJURP-5:1
Source: RNAcentral
UAUUCACUUGACCCAGAAACACCACAAAAUCAUGCAAUUCAAGAGGUUUCAGUUUUCCUGUUCACUUAAAGGACAUUCGUGAAACUACCCAGGCCAUCAAUGUAUGCAUAUACAAAGAGCCACCAAGUGUCUGAAGGAUGUCACUUUAUGGAAGCAGUGUGCACCAUUUCGAUAUUGCAAUGGAGGGGCUGGCAAGUGUGCCCAGGGCCGAGCAGUGGGGCUGGACACAAGGUCGGUGGCCCAAAUAGGGUGCUGGAUUUUUGCUGCAUGUGCUUUAAAAUGCAGAGAAUAAUGCUAAAUAUAACAAUUUAGAUGUAGAUUCUCUCAUCAUUAAGCUUAUCCAAGUAAACAAAGCAUCCAAGAUGAGCCAUGCGUCUUGCAGAGCUCAUUAUUGGAUUAACCCUUACAUGACCCCCCACUGCCACAUUCAAGAUGAUCUUUACUGAUAAGGAACAAAUUGUUCCUAAACCUGAGGAUGAGGUUGCACAGAAGAAAAAGAUAUCCCAGAAGAAACUGAAGAAAAAAUUUACCUAUGGCUCUGGAA